RNAcentral lists this ribosomal RNA (468 nucleotides) under uncultured bacterium. Its description in RNAcentral is "partial 16S ribosomal RNA". It matches the Rfam family "Bacterial small subunit ribosomal RNA", at positions 28 to 507 of the family's 1533-position model. The record is from RNAcentral.
GACGAACGCUGGCGGCGUGCUUAACACGUGCAAGUCGAACGGAAAGGCCCUGCUUUUGUGGGGUGCUCGAGUGGCGAACGGGUGAGUAACACGUGAGUAACCUGCCCUUGACUUUGGGAUAACUUCAGGAAACUGGGGCUAAUACCGGAUAGGAGCUCCUGCUGCAUGGUGGGGGUUGGAAAGUUUCGGCGGUUGGGGAUGGACUCGCGGCUUAUCAGCUUGUUGGUGGGGUAGUGGCUUACCAAGGCUUUGACGGGUAGCCGGCCUGAGAGGGUGACCGGCCACAUUGGGACUGAGAUACGGCACAGACUCCUACGGGAGGCAGCAGUGGGGAAUAUUGCACAAUGGGCGGAAGCCUGAUGCAGCAACGCAGCGUGCGGGAUGACGGCCUUCGGGUUGUAAACCGCUUUCGCCUGUGACGAAGCGUGAGUGACGGUAAUGGGUAAAGAAGCACCGGCUAACUACGUG